This is a long non-coding RNA of Brassica rapa (field mustard), 7476 nucleotides long. RefSeq lists it as uncharacterized. Lineage: Eukaryota; Viridiplantae; Streptophyta; Magnoliopsida; Brassicales; Brassicaceae. The record is from RefSeq and is a predicted model, not a curated record.
CUAACUGAAAUACCGAAAAAAACCGAACCGAACCGAAACCAACCUGAUAUCCGGAUUGAACACCCCUAAUCCAAAUGAAGCCAAACUAUUGUUUUAUUCUCCAAAAUAUAAUAAAAAUAAUAACUUAAUCCCGCGCAAGGCGCGGGUCUUAUCCUAGUAAAGUACUGUUUUACUCACUCCUGAAGCUGCCACAUCAGAUUCCAGCUCAGAAAGUCGUUGAAUCUGGAGUCGACACGUGUCCAAGAGAAUGAAACUCACCGUAUCAUUUAACUUUGAGUUACGUAGGUUAUUUUUGAUAUGGGCCUUAAAUUUGGUUGAUUCAACCAGCCCAGCAAAUAGUUUCUAUAAUUUAAACGCUGCUGCAAACGUCGUUUUGUGUAUUAGGGUUUCCACUUGAUGUCAUCUCCUCCCUUCGAUAUCACGACAUAACCAGAGGUCUGAGAGAUUGUUUCAGCUUCUUACUAACAAUCUCUAACAGUUACAUAUACCCCAUCUUAAAGUCCUUCUUAAAUUAUCACUCACGAUCUACCUUGAAUGCGAGCAUCUUCAUGCAAGGCGGUGGAACUUCGAUUAUAAAAAGAUCAGACAAGGCUCCUCCACCGUUCUCAAGUCCGGUUGCUCCGUUUCUGGGAAGCUAGGAACGUCCGUCGUCGCGGUGGCGAAGUCAUGGGAGUGGAUAUAGUUCUACAGGAUUCUCAGGCCACCAUGAUGCCGGUCACCGUGAAUGUCAACCGGCUUGCUGCUCACAGGCCUAAUCUGAAGGCGGGUUCAAUUUAUUCCCUAACCGGUUUUGAUCUGACCCGAUGUAAUCAGAAUUACGGUCUGUUGGACACCUCUAUGUUGAUCCGUUUCAGUAACCAAACCUCUUUCGAUGAUGUCCCCGAACCGUCUAUUCUGAUAGGAGUUUAAUCUAAUCACAUCGAGAUGCUUGGCCAUGCCAACACAAACACUCAGAUUCCAGACUUGACGUUGUUUGGGAUCCACUCAACGAAGUAGGACUGGAGAAGCUCUGGCUUGUGGUAGUGACUAUGAGAUCAAUGUUGGAUUCAGUGAAAACGAACAAAGAAAAAGCUAACAAGAAGAAGAAGGACAAGAAAGAAGAGAGUUUGAUGAACUAUAUAGUUAACCUGUUAGAUAGAAGAUGUUUAUACCUCAGCUGUUGGAAUGAUGUUUGAGUCAUGUGUUCUGGGAAGAUGCUUUCUCUUUAAGUCUCUUGCAUUUAUUUUGGUGACAUCGACAAUACUUAUAAUAUCCAGAAACUUCUCAGUAUGUCAUGAGCUAUAUUACAUUUUCAUUCUGUUAUUUUCUUCUUCUUUUUUUCUGUAUGAUUUAGUGAUUAAUGGUGGGAACUAUGUGUUCUAUCAUUGCAGUUUUUUACAUCUGCUAGCCAUAUUUAUCUUAUGAGAGUUGGUAAAUUUAGAUAUUAACAAUUACUGGCAGAUAUACACCGAGUAGUCACAAUUUUAUGCCAUGUGCACUCUCCUUUGUAUGAUUCAUAUAAUUCACCAUUGGUCUAGACAGAAACAUAUUUGUUCUUCUGCUAUGGGAGAAUGAUACUUCAUGUGGCUCUGUAAGCCCUAAGGAAUUGCUUUCUUAUGUUUCACUUUUCUCUAAAGAGUCCCAGUUAAGGCUUCUCUGAUCCAAUUCCAAUACAAACUCUCGGUUGCCACAAUGUGUGCGGUGAUUGUGUUUUUGAGAUUAAGUGAUUUCUAUUAUUUACUUAGCUAUCAGAUUUUCAAAGCUAUUGUUCACAAAAUAGUUUCUUUUUUUGUUAUAUCAAUUUCCAAAAAUAAAGGCUACAGCUAAAUAUGUCUUCUCAAAGUAACACAUAUAGGAAAGAGACUAUCCAAAUACAAUUAUGAAGCUUCUAACUUUUUUUUUUUAACACCGAAGGAUUUCAUUGAUUAUAAACUUAGAAAAGAUUUACAAGUUGUGAUCAUAUGCUAGCAAGUUAUAAAAACUUCUAGAAACUAAGCCAACAGGAAUAACAUUCCUUUGGAGUUAUAGGCCGGCAGAUGCGAACUGAAUCUCCGGAGACAAGAGAGAUAUAAACUAAACCAAAAGAUCAAGUACACACAAUACAUGAAUCUAGAUCAAAUGAGCAAAAACACCCAUGCAAGAGGAAGGACCAAAGGAAGACGGAUAAGAUAGAACACAUCCACAGUCGAACUUAAUUUGGGUAGAACCGCACCUCAUUAUAUUGCUUUGAAGAUUACUUCACAAGCCACCGAGGAUGAAGCAGUACAUAACCCAAGAAGAUGAUGAGCACAGCUUUUAACAAUCAACUUCCACGACCGGAUGUAAAGAGCCAAAUCCGUCCAAGAUAAUCACAUUUGAGAUCCCUUGCGUAGAGGCAACAAGAUACAAAGAUUAAACCAUAAUCAUACCGUUUCAAGCGAGAUCGGGGAGAUGCAACCUUCAAUCUAUGGUAGAACCUCUACAAUAAGUGAAACAUGAAAAGCACAGCCAGAUCGGGGAGAAGGGAGAACAACGAGAGGAUCUAACGGAUCCUUGAAACGCAGAAGUCGAAACAAGGCCAAAAGACCAUCUGAAGAAACCCGAAGAGAAGAGGAAACGCCAUAACAGAGGAACAACAUCAUGAUAUAAGCACGCCACCGACUGAUCCAUCACCGACAUGCCUCGAACCUCAAAAGAAUCUGGAAUUCAAGAUCUAGAUCCAACUAUUGGAGACUUAAAACCUUAAGAAAACAUGCAAGCAAAGAGAAUGGAAGACAAGACCGGACCGACGGUGGCUGAGGAAGCACACACCGUCGGCCGGUAACACGCAAACAGAUCGGAAAACGAGAAAGCUUAGAGAGAAGGGAGAGCAAAUGACUUUAGAGAGAGGUUUUUGAUCUGAUUAAUCUCAUGUAUGCAGCUUCUAACUUAAUUUGACACAAAUAAAUCAAUCUCGAUUUGUUUUUGGAAAUAAAAAGAUUAUGAAAAAUGUAAUUGAUCAAAAAUUAUCUAAACAAUUACUCAAAACAGUUAGAAGGUAUAUGCCUUUUUUAAAUAUUUUAGUUUUUAAGAUAAUAAAUUCUAAAAAUAUUAAUAAAAUAUUAAUAAAAUAAGUAAUAAGAGUUUCUGACAGAAAUAACUGAAAUACAGUGAUAUAUUUGGUUUAAAACAAACUAAAAAUUUGUAAGUAAUUUAUUAUAAUUUUAUCAAAAUUUAAGUUAUGUUUAUAUUGUUUUUUAUUCGCUUACCCGCCCUAUCCUUGUCUUAUCUUAUAUAUAUAAAGUAGAGUUAUGCUCUACACACAGCCUUCCACAUCAUCAGGAAGCAUGGGGCUUCUUCUGCCACGUGGCACUCCCAAACACCAAUCGAUCUGCAUUUUAUUUAUGGCUUUUUCUUGGACUGGGCUUUUGUUAUAACUUGUGGAUGGGGUUUUUAAAACAAAAUGGCAAGCCCAGCCAGGAAUCUGAACUGAAUCCACCACUUCAUCUUCAUCGUUUGCAUCGGAGACGUUUCUCAACCUUCUGUUUCUCUAAAGUAACCUCGGGUUACGACCAUUUUUUCUCAUUAAAAUCCGUCUUCACUCCUUCAAUCGAAAGAGCUAUCGUUCUAACUCACUUUUGUUUAUCAAAAUAUAGAAACACAUCCUCUGAUUCUAUUCUCCACGCAUCAUACACGACAAAUACAGCACGGCGAAAGAGGCAUACUUAUUGGGUUAGAACUACUCUCAUGGACAAGAAGGUAUGGACCCGUAACUCUGAUGAGAUUAUUUGAUUCCCUCAGAUUCUAAACGCCUUACUAUUGUUUCAGCUAAUUCACCAUAGCCAUCACUUAAUUCUUCAGUGAUGUAUCUCCAAGCUUGGUACGGAGCUGUGAACCAGUGAAUCCAUUUCAGUUAAACAACAGUCUCUGAAGUCAAGCAGGUAUGAGCCUGUCGCUGCUUCUACUCACUAGCGGCUCGAAUCAUGGUAUGUAUAUCCAUUCUGUUACUCCUCCUCUCCUUAUAUCUGAACCGUCUAUUUCUGCAAUCUUUGUUUCUUUCUUAUUUUGCUUUGUGGGUUAUUUUUCCGAUGAUCUGAUAUCUGAAAAGUUCUUUCUGUUUUAUUUGGUCGAACCUGGUAAUAUAACUUCUUUCUGUUUAAUUGUAAUUGAUCAAAAUUGUUUAGUUAAGAACAUAGGAUGCUCAACUUUGUGUUUGAAACUGUAACGUUUCUGAGAAUAUUGUAAUGUAAAAGUUGAAAGAUUGCAUUUUUAGGGUUCCUUGAUAAGAAUAAAAGCCUUAAAAUGGUUAAUGAUCCCAUAAUGUUUAGUUAAGCGUUGUGUUAGAGACUGUAAAGUGGCUAACGUUUGUCACUAGGUGUCUACAAGAUUGCUUGAUCCUUUUCUUGCUCACUUGAAGACAUCACAAGAUUAAGUUGCUAAAGGUGGCUGCGCAAUUGUUCUCAAGCCCGAUAUAAGAUUUUAUAUCAAUAUAAGAUUGUUUUUAAAUGAUACUUUUUUAACACACUGAUUAAAAUUGAGACUCUUUUCUUCUUUGUUAUCUUUAGGUUUCGAUUUGUGAGCAAUCCGGAUGUCCUAGAACGUGUUUACACUUUACAAACUGAGAUAAUGCAUAUCAAGGAAAAAUUGGUAUAUAGAACAAUUGUGUAGCGGCUGUAAAUGUUGUCAGUAAGCUUUUAUUUUUGUAUGUACAUUGUUUAGUGAAUUGACAGUUUAAACGUUCUAUUGUAUCAGUCAGGUGGAUGAUGAUCAACAACCAAAAAGUUCAGAGAGUACAUAAGGUGUUUUCUUGGUGCCAAAACUUUUAGAUGUCAGUCACUAAGAUGUUGUUUGCCUCUUGGCCCUUGAUCAUACAAUUUAACCGGUGCAGUCUGGGCUUUUCCAAAGCCAGAUGUUUGUUUACAAAUCAAGUCUCUUUCUUUCUUUCAUCACCCUCUCUCUCUCUCUCUCUUCAUAGCUUGAUCAAUAAAAAGGAAAAUGAAGUUGCAAGUGUUGUAAAUACAUUUCUGGUGGUAUAUUCAAGGUACUUAUUCAUCUUGACCAUGACCAAUUAUUCAUUUCUCAGUGCAUUGCUCUGUCUUCCAGAUCCGAGAAGUUCUUAUCCUUUUAUUUUUUUCAGUCUUUGAUCUUUGCCUAAAUCUACUAAUUAGAAAUUGUGUGUGAAAUUGUGCUUCUUUCUCUGUUUAUUGUCUAUUCACAUGCCUGUUUGUGUGUGAAGAUAAGAUCUAUAUCAUUCUUUGAUAUUGAGAAACAUGCAACCGCAAAUUCCAGGUGGUCUAGAGCUUGUACAAGAGCAUUAGGGUUGGUAAAGGUUUGUCAAGGAUGGAAAGGCACAACAUCUUGCUUUACAACACCCACUUGAGGCAGUAAGUUAUAGAGAGACUAAUCUCAGCUUCAGUUUCCUUUUAAUUCGACUUUUUGGAUUGAGCCUAAUCUGAUCUUGGAUUAUGCACUUUGUUGCAACAUAUUGACCCUAGACAUUGGUAUGGACACAACCUGCAUUCUUACUACAAGUUGCUCCACUGUCAGAGUAGAGACCCGUACUUCUACUGGUAAUUACUUCUCACUGACUCCUUUUUCCCAUUUAUGUAAAAAGGUUUGAGCUGAAUCUUGAAAAAUAAACUUAGAUGUACGUUUGCUCGAAGUGUUACAGGUUUGAUAAAUUGGCAAGGAGUAAGAAGUAAUAAUGUCGAUAACUUAGAAACUUAUUUUCUUUUUGUUGUCAUGUUUAUGCUGUGUGUAUAUGUAAAGGAAAGCUUAAGAGGGUGUUGUGGAAGACGGAAAAUUGUUCUACAAGAACAGUGGAGAAAUGCUUCAAACUUCUACUAUGGACAAUAAUGAUUCCAAAUGGAUCAUGGUGCUCAGAUGUUAUACGUUGGGAAGAAGGGUACUUUCAACAUUCAAGGUUUUUAGCUGGAGAAGCUACUGUUUCUGCAUGGGGAUUUGUUGUUGAGAAUGGUGUUCUUAGGGCUGUUUGGCCAUGGUCCGUGCUUGAUUGCAACUUUUUAAAUUUUAGUAUAGUAGAUUUUAUAAUUAAAAAAAAACAGUUUUCAGUGUGUUGUGAGUAUUGUUAAGAGCUAAUAAUAAAUUCGUGAAAAGUUUGUCUUAAAAAAGCUUCAGAAAAUAAAUGAGAUAUUUAGAAAAGUACAUUAUUCUUAUUUGGUUUCAGGUAUGGGUUCGUCGUACAUAGCUGCCAAAAAUACUGUUGAUGCUAAGGGUUGGUCUAAAAAGGGCAUCGGUCAUCAAACUAAGCAACAUGAACUCAUAUAUAUUUUAAGACCCUCUUUAGAUUCUUUAAAACCGUAAAUAAGAAAUCCAUUGUCAGUUAAAAAUGGCAAAUCAGUGAUUUUGAAGGCGAACACAACGUUUGAAUCAAUUGUGAUAAACAAAUUAGUUUUACACGAAACCAAAUAUGAAAGAUAGAAGACCAUUUAGAUUAUAGUCACAAUUUAUUUAAGUAUGUAUUCAUCUUCCCUUUGCCUCACAUUCCAUCUAUAUAUUUGGAUGUUAAAAAACCAACAAAUUUUGGGUUUUGAUCAUGAAUUAUAUUCUUAUGAUUAUAAUAUAUAUACAUAAAUCUAUUAUAAUAAUUAGGUUUAACAUAAUAAAAUUAACCACAAUUAUAUUAUACUGAUAAAAUUAUUUUUACUUAUUUUCUUUCCUACAAGGUUAAAAAAUAUUAAAUGAUAAAAUAAGUCUGUGUAUAUAUUUAUCUAAUAAAUGAAGUAACAUUUGUUAAAUAAUAAGAUAAAUAUGUGUAUAUAUUUAUCGAAUAUACGUAGUAAAUAUUAUCAUUAUCUAAAUUUUAUCUUUUAAUGUUUUUUUUAGUUAUUACAAAAAUAUAUUUAUGAAAUUUUUUUCUUCUCAUGGAUCUCACAUUAAAAGUUAAACUGGUUAAAAUUAUUAUUACUCUUAAUAGUGAUUAAGUUUAUCAGUAUAGUAACUACAAAUGUAUUAUAGUAACAAAAUUAUCAUCACUAUAUUUCUUUCAAAAAAGAUUAAAACUUAUAAGAUAUAAUAUAAAAAUGUGUAUAUAUAUUUAUCGAGUAAAGCAAAAAAAACAUUAUCAUUAUUUCAAUUCGUUCUUCUUUUAAGUUAUCAUAAAAUUUAGUUUUUAAUUUUAUCUUUUAAAUAUGUAUAAAUAAAAAUUAAUUUAAUUCAAAAAUUAAUAUUUUAAAUUAUACUCAACCACCGCAAAGAACUCAACCAUCUUCGCCAAUCUACAGAUGAAAACUAUGACAACAACACAUUUUUCUUAUGGUAUUUUAAUAUUGUGCAUAAGCAAUUUAGAGGGAAAAUAAUAGUUGGAUAACUUAUCCUGAAAAAAUAGUCAAUUCCGGUCCAAUCAAUGUUGGACCAUGAUUAAUAAUUCAAUUACUGGAUUAGAAUCAUUUUGAAGACAGCGUAUGUAACCAAUACGUCUACAACGAAGCUCCUAACAAAUUGCCACAUCGACAUUCAAAGCAUGCGAGGGUUGUUGCUAUUUUAAGAGGAUGAACGGAUUUACUAUCUUCCUUCGAA